ACCAAACGAGAGACGGGAUUAAUGAGAUUGAAAGUUUAUUAUUUUUAUAUUUAAUAUAUCUCUUAACCACGAAAUUAUCUCCUUUUUUAAAGUUUUAUCUAGCAUAUCAUGUCGGAAGUGCUGAUUGGUGCAGAAAUCGUCACCAGUCACUUGUCAGGAAAAGCUAGUGAUGGAUCAAAAUAGACGACAGUCCUUUAUCAGUUCCGUUAGAGUCGAAUAUAUGACAGAAAUAUUACUCGUUAUGGAAAAUACAGCCGAUGCGUUCCACUUGGUUUAUUUGUCUCCUGGUGAACUGUUUCGAACCAUCCGGAAGAUUGGUUUUUAAGCGAGCGAAACAGAGCUACACUGUUAUAAUUUGCUUCUAUCUGCGAUGUUGCAGUCGUAAUUGGUCGUAUCGAUGUUUGUUUAAUAGCCCGAGUAUGUUUUUUUUCCUCGAGUUUAAUUUCCGACAGUCGACGCUUUAAAUUUCUCCGAUAAAAAUGCAUUAUUCGAUAUUUGGUUUGCUUUUAGGAAGAAAAAAAAGUGUCGAAUUAAGUAAAGGUUAAUCUGUUAAAUCUGUAUAGCCUUCGCAACACAUUAGCCAACAGACCAGUAACAGGGGAGGGGUAGUAAAAGACUCGAUCGAGAACCAGUCUUGGGUUGAAGUGAAUGAGAUAAGAUGCCAUUUCCUGUGUACCUGGAGGACCAGUUUGGCCCUGACCCGCCACAAAAGAGGGGGCCCGUCCUACACACAUACACACAAGACCCACCUGUCACUACAUUUCCUGUCGUCUGAUAGCUGCUAAAUUUAAUGCCGCCGCAUUCAAGGCUCUGUCAUUAAGACAACGUUUUUCCCCGGCCAAAUUACGCAUUCUGUAAUAUUCCUGUCUCGUUGCCGGUAUGACAACCCGCAUUUAACGAAAGAAAGUAAAGAUUUUUAUAUAUUUUUAAGAGGUUUUUUACUAAUGUUUAUCGUCGAAGAUAGCUGCAGUUAUAGGACAGAUGUUUGAAGAUGUUAAAUUUAUAUUCUGCACGACUUUAAUUAAAAAGAGCAUUUAAUAUCAAUUAAAGACGUGCGGCGAAUCGUUUUCUGUCAGAGUCGAACGAAAAAAAAUUGCAGGGCAAAAGAAAGAGGAAAAAACUUGGUGGAUAUCUAGGCGAGGGAAAUAAACGGCUAUAAAUGGCCUGAUGGUGUGCGCAUGUCUGCAAAGUUGCCGAGAAACUCCGGCGGACCCCUCAGAGUAAUGAAAUAGAUAGCAAAUUCCAGACAUUCCAUUCUGCAGCGUUGUCUGCUUUCGUGCUCCAUGUGGUAUGAAACGUUAGGAGACGUUCGAUCGCAAUGAGCGAGACAGCUGGCUGGCUCACGUAUACCCGUUGCUUUAUAUAUUCCGGCCAUAAUUGAACAUUCCUGACAUAGUUUUGUCGUUCUGUGUGCAGCUCCUUUGUGUCCGUAAGGCUGUAUCACGAAAAGUCUAGGGAUGGCGGUCGAUUUGGUGAUAACAAUCACUUUUAGGUUUCUUUCCCACCCGGUGCGGCCAGGAAUUUGACUGUGGUACAGUUGAAAUGGGAAAAGAGCGCACUUUUUCUUUAUAUCUCUCUAUCACUUUUCACUAUUUUUGUUUUCUUUCGUCCAGUCGGUUUUUUACUCUUUUCUUUAAAUUUUUCGAGUGAUUCUAUUUCAUGGAAUGUCUAUUUUGAAAGGAAAUUUCAUUUUGUUGCUGGCUGAGUUAUUUACUUAUUGGAGUGUGCAAAUGCAGCAUGAUGUUUUCUUUUGUAAAUCUAUACUAGAAUUAGUGAAC
Molecule: long non-coding RNA, 1778 nt
Filed under: Androctonus crassicauda
Lineage: Eukaryota; Metazoa; Arthropoda; Arachnida; Scorpiones; Buthidae
Source: RNAcentral